This 299-nucleotide ribosomal RNA is filed under the name uncultured bacterium. RNAcentral's name for it is "partial 16S ribosomal RNA". It matches the Rfam family "Bacterial small subunit ribosomal RNA", at positions 28 to 334 of the family's 1533-position model. The record is from RNAcentral.
GAUGAACGCUGGCGGCGUGCCUAAUACAUGCAAGUCGAACGCGAGCAGCAAUGCUCGAGUGGCGAACGGGUGAGUAAUACAUAAGUAACCUGCCUUAAAGAGGGGGAUAACGUCUGGAAACGGACGCUAAUACCGCAUGACAUACGGACAUGGCAUCAUGAUCGUAUCAAAGGAGCAAUCCGCUUUAAGAUGGACUCGCGUCCAAUUAGCUAGUUGGUGAGGUAACGGCCCACCAAGGCGACGAUUGGUAGCCGGACUGAGAGGUUGAACGGCCACAUUGGGACUGAGACACGGCCCAG